GCCCCAGGAGGAAGCGGGGACUGUUAGCAGUAUAGGAUUGAGGAGUUGGAAGAGACCUUUAGAACAGCUGGUCCUUAUGCCGACUGGGUGCCCGCACUAAGUUCGGCAUCAAUAUGGUGACCUCCUGGGAGUGGGGGGCCACCAAGUUGCUUAAGGAUGGCUGAACUGGCCCAGGUCAGAAAGGGAGUGGGUCAGAACUCCCGCACCGACCAGUAGUGGGACUAUGCCUGAUCCUGGUUCUUAAAAGUAAAAAUAAAGAACAGCAGCUCAU
This 271-nucleotide small RNA is filed under the name Nomascus leucogenys (northern white-cheeked gibbon). RNAcentral describes it as "Metazoan signal recognition particle RNA (ENSNLEG00000024043.2)". The stretch from base 81 to 231 matches the Rfam family "Metazoan signal recognition particle RNA", at positions 99 to 249 of the family's 299-position model. From Rfam's summary of the family: The signal recognition particle (SRP) is a universally conserved ribonucleoprotein. The record is from RNAcentral. Lineage: Eukaryota; Metazoa; Chordata; Mammalia; Primates; Hylobatidae.